GACGAACGCUGGCGGCGUGCUUAACACAUGCAAGUCGAACGAAGAGCGACGGAAGCUUGCUUCUAUCAAUCUUAGUGGCGAACGGGUGAGUAACGCGUAAUCAACCUGCCCUUCAGAGGGGGACAACAGUUGGAAACGACUGCUAAUACCGCAUACGAUCUAACCUCGGCAUCGAGGAUAGAUGAAAGGUGGCCUCUACAUGUAAGCUAUCACUGAAGGAGGGGAUUGCGUCUGAUUAGCUAGUUGGAGGGGUAACGGCCCACCAAGGCGAUGAUCAGUAGCCGGUCUGAGAGGAUGAACGGCCACAUUGGGACUGAGACACGGCCCAGACUCCUACGGGAGGCAGCAGUGGGGAAUCUUCCGCAAUGGACGAAAGUCUGACGGAGCAACGCCGCGUGAGUGAUGACGGCCUUCGGGUUGUAAAGCUCUGUUAAUCGGGACGAAAGGCCUCCUUGCGAAUAGUGAGAAGGAUUGACGGUACCGGAAUAGAAAGCCACGGCUAACUACGUG
Molecule: ribosomal RNA, 510 nt
Filed under: uncultured bacterium
Lineage: Bacteria
Description: partial 16S ribosomal RNA
Rfam family: Bacterial small subunit ribosomal RNA
Source: RNAcentral